GACGAACGCUGGCGGCGUGCUUAACACAUGCAAGUCGAACGGAAAGGCCCUGCUUUUGUGGGGUGCUCGAGUGGCGAACGGGUGAGUAACACGCGAGUAACCUGCCCUUGACUUUGGGAUAACUUCAGGAAACUGGGGCUCAUACCGGAUAUGAUCUCCUGCUGCAUGGUGGGGGUUGGAAAGUUUCGGCGGUUGUGGCUGUACUCGCGGCGUAUCAGCUUGUUGGUCGGGUAGUGGCUUACCAAGGCUUGGACGGGUAGCCGACCUGAGAGGGUGAUCGGCGACACUGGAACUGAGACACGGUCCAGAGUCCUACGGGAGGCAGCAGUAGGGAAUCUGCCGCAAUGGGCGAAAGCCUGACGGAGCAACGCCGCGUGAGUGAUGAAGGUCUUCGGAUCGUAAAACUCUGUUAUUAGGGAAGAACAAAUGUGUAAGUAACUAUGCACGGCUUGACGGUACCUAAUCAGAAAGCCACGGCUAACUACGUG
RNAcentral lists this ribosomal RNA (488 nucleotides) under uncultured bacterium. RNAcentral describes it as "partial 16S ribosomal RNA". It matches the Rfam family "Bacterial small subunit ribosomal RNA", at positions 28 to 507 of the family's 1533-position model. The record is from RNAcentral.